UACGUAGGGGGCUAGCGUUGUCCGGAAUCAUUGGGCGUAAAGGGCGUGUAGGCGGUCCGGUAAGUCCGCUGUGAAAGUCGGGGGCUCAACCCUCGAAUGCCGGUGGAUACUGUCGGGCUAGAGUGCGGAAGAGGCGAGUGGAAUUCCUGGUGUAGCGGUGAAAUGCGCAGAUAUCAGGAGGAACACCUAUUGCGAAGGCAGCUCGCUGGGACGUAACUGACGCUGAGACGCGAAAGCGUGGGGAGCAAACAGG
This 253-nucleotide ribosomal RNA is filed under the name uncultured bacterium. RNAcentral's name for it is "partial 16S ribosomal RNA". It matches the Rfam family "Bacterial small subunit ribosomal RNA", at positions 524 to 776 of the family's 1533-position model. The record is from RNAcentral.